Molecule: long non-coding RNA, 4576 nt
Filed under: Lathyrus oleraceus (garden pea)
Lineage: Eukaryota; Viridiplantae; Streptophyta; Magnoliopsida; Fabales; Fabaceae
Description: Pisum sativum (pea) long non-coding RNA (PSAT_LNC040180)
Source: RNAcentral
UUUUUAAUAAUACUCUUGAAAUUUUUAAUUUCACUUAAAAAUAUAAUUAGCCUUACGAAAAAUGAAAUGGUUAAUUGUGGAUGUAUAUAGAGAAAUAAUAUUCAUACAGAAAAGGUUACAAUGGUACUCACAACUUAAAUAAUUGGAAAUGCAUAACCAUUUCAAAAAUCUAUCUUAUUGAAUGUCUUCUAGAUUUAGAUUUAAUUAUUGCAACUAUUAGAAAAAAUAGAUGAAUUUAUUUGUAAAUGCAUUUCUAAAAUAUAAAUGUUUAUUAUAAAUAUUAUAAAUACUUAUUUCACUAUUUAUUGGAAUAUGAAAGCUAUUUCACUUAUUUGAAUCACAUGUUUCUUAGUGUUGAAGAUGUUAGUGUUAUGAUAUAAAGUUAGUUCAUGAUUACAUUCUAUCAGAGUCAUUAUGACCAAGUUAUCUGGAGUUUGAUUUUUGUUGCGGCCGUUGUUGUAAAAAACAGAUUUAAGUUAUUAAUACACAAAUUAUGUAUCCAAAUUUUUACUACAAAUUUUCUAUAUUAAAAAGUAGAUUAUUGUAUUUGGAAAGAGACGAUUUUAAUUCUAGGAAAUAUGCAAAAUUCAUAUAAUGGAAUUGCUGUUAAGGAUCUAAUAUUAGCAUUAUUUACAGUACUUUUAAUUUUGGUUUAACUUGUUUAUAUGUUUCUUCCAUGUAAUUUAGAAGCAAUACUAUAAAACCCAUUAAACUACUCCUCCUAUACUACACUAUCAACUGGUACAUCAUGUGGAACUGUGUGGAGUUCUAUACAACCAACCUUCUAGUUUAUCAUUUACUCAAAUAAUUUAUGUUAUAUGUUUAUAUUGUUUUUUAAAAGAUAAAUUAGUGUACAAAUAAACACGUGAUCCUACAUUGAAUAAAAAUUCAAUAUUCUUGUGUUUAGCAAAAAAAAAAAGAGAUUGUCCCGAAUGCAGAUAACCACUAGGAAUGAGACUAUCCAAAUGCCUUGCCAAGUGGUUAUGAGAGAAGUAAAUUACAUAUUUCGAAAACCAUAAAAAAGAUGAGAAGAAAGAAAAAUAAAGAAUGAAUUAGAAAGAAAGAAUAUCAAAGAGAAAGAUAAGAAGAAAAAAUAACUGGAGAGUGAGAAAGAAGAAAAAAGAAAAGAGAAAAAAAAGAAAGAGAAGUAAAUAAGAGGGGAAUAAACUAUAUAUUUAUAUAUAAAAAAUAAAAGAGAAUAAGAUAGAAGAAGGAAGAAAGAAUAAGAAAUAAAGAAAAGGAAAGAGAAAGAGUAGAAGAAGAAAAAGAACAUGACAAAAGAAGAAAGAGCUUAAAGUCCCACACAGUGUUGUGAUUGCUUCAAAAUUAGAGUAUAAACAAUUUUUUAAAAUAUUUUUCCAACAAAACAUAUUAAAAAAGAGACACAAAAAUUUGAACUUUCUUAAUAAGUGUGAGAUAUUUACCUUCCAUUAUAAACAAUUACAGAGGAAUUAUAUAAUAAGAAAAGUAUGUGCCUGCGUGCUUCUAUAUGUCGUUAAAUAAAAUAAGCAACUAGAUUGAGACCCUUGCAAUGCACGGGUGUCGAAAAUUUGUAAACUCCCUUUAAAACCAUGUAUAUUGACUUUGGUAAUUUUGCGCUGAACAAUAUUUUUAUACUUUUGGAGUUUAUUUUAAAACUUCGAAGUAAAACAUAAAAAGAAUGUUAACUAAAUAAUUAUGAAGGAAGAAAUAAGAGUAUGUUGGAUUGAUAAAUGAUCAAGUUCUUCAGAGAAAAAUACAUGGAUGAGAGAUACCACGAUGUGCACUUUAAUUUAUCCCUUACAAAAAAAAAACUACUUACUAUGAAUUUACAUUUUUUUUUAAUAAUACUCUUGAAAUUUUUAAUUUCACUUAAAAAUAUAAUUAGCCUUACGAAAAAUGAAAUGGUUAAUUAUGGAUGUAUAUAGAGAAAUAAUAUUCAUACAGAAAAGGUUACAACGGUACUCACAACUUAAAUAAUUGGAAAUGCAUAACCAUUUCAAAAAUCUAUCUUAUUGAAUGUCUUCUAGAUUUAGGUUUAAUUAUUGCAACUAUUAGAAAAAAUAGAUGACUUUAUUUGUAAAUGCAUUUCUAAAAUAUAAAUGUUUAUUAUAAAUAUUAUUAAUACUUAUUUCACUAUUUAUUGGAAUAUGAAAGCUAUUUCACUUAUUUGAAUGACAUGUUUCUUAGUGUUGAAGAUGUUAGUGUUAUGAUAUAAAGUUAGUUCAUGAUUACAUUCUAUCAGAGUCAUUAUGACCAAGUUAUCUGGAGUUUGAUUUUUGUUGCGGCCGUUGUUGUAAAAAACAGAUUUAAGUUAUUAAUACACAAAUUAUGUAUCCAAAUCUUUACUACAAAUUUUCUAUAUUAAAAAGUAGAUUAUUGUAUUUUGAAAGAGACGAUUUUAAUUCUAGGAAAUAUGCAAAAUUCAUAUAAUGGAAUUGCCGUUAAGGAUCUAAUAUUAGCAUUAUUUACGGUACUUUUAAUUUUGGUUUAACUUGUUUAUACGUUUCUUCCAUAUAAUUUAGAAGCAAUACUAUAAAACCCAUCAAACUACUCCUCCUAUACUACACUAUCAACUGGUACGUCAUGUGGAACUGAGUGGAGUUCUAUACAACCAACCUUCUAGUUUAUCAUUUACUCAAAUAAUUUAUGUUAUAUGUUUAUAUUGUUUUUUAAAAGAUAAAUUAGUGUACAAAUAAAGACGUGAUCCUACAUUGAAUAAAAAUUCAAUAUUCUUGUGUUUAGCAACAAAACAAAAAAAGAGUUUGUACCGAAUGCAGAUAACCACUAGGAAUGAGACUAUCCAAAUGCUUUGCCAAGUGGUUAUGAGAGAAGUAAAUUACAUAUUUAGAAAACCAUAGAAAAGAGAAAGAGGAAAGAAUGAAUUAGAAAGAAAGAAUAUCAAAGAGAAAGAUAAGAAGAAAAAAUAACUGGAGAGUGAGAAAGAAGAAAAAAGAAAAGAGAAAAAAAAGAAAGAGAAGUAAAUAAGAGGGGAAUAAACUAUAUAUUUAUAUAUAAAAAAUAAAAGAGAAUAAGAUAGAAGAAGGAAGAAAGAAUAAGAAAUAAAGAAAAGGAAAGAGAAAGAGUAGAAGAAGAAAAAGAACAUGACAAAAGAAGAAAGAGCUUAAAGUCCCACACAGUGUUGUGAUUGCUUCAAAAUUAGAGUAUAAACAAUUUUUUAAAAUAUUUUUCCAACAAAACAUAUUAAAAAAGAGACACAAAAAUUUGAACUUUCUUAAUAAGUGUGAGAUAUUUACCUUCCAUUAUAAACAAUUACAGAGGAAUUAUAUAAUAAGAAAAGUAUGUGCCUGCGUGCUUCUAUAUGUCGUUAAAUAAAAUAAGCAACUAGAUUGAGACCCUUGCAAUGCACGGGUGUCGAAAAUUUGUAAACUCCCUUUAAAACCAUGUAUAUUGACUUUGGUAAUUUUGCGCUGAACAAUAUUUUUAUACUUUUGGAGUUUAUUUUAAAACUUCGAAGUAAAACAUAAAAAGAAUGUUAACUAAAUAAUUAUGAAGGAAGAAAUAAGAGUAUGUUGGAUUGAUAAAUGAUCAAGUUCUUCAGAGAAAAAUACAUGGAUGAGAGAUACCACGAUGUGCACUUUAAUUUAUCCCUUACAAAAAAAAAACUACUUACUAUGAAUUUACAUUUUUUUUUAAUAAUACUCUUGAAAUUUUUAAUUUCACUUAAAAAUAUAAUUAGCCUUACGAAAAAUGAAAUGGUUAAUUGUGGAUGUAUAUAGAGAAAUAAUAUUCAUACAGAAAAGGUUACAACGGUACUCACAACUUAAAUAAUUGGAAAUGCAUAACCAUUUCAAAAAUCUAUCUUAUUGAAUGUCUUCUAGAUUUAGGUUUAAUUAUUGCAACUAUUAGAAAAAAUAGAUGACUUUAUUUGUAAAUGCAUUUCUAAAAUAUAAAUGUUUAUUAUAAAUAUUAUUAAUACUUAUUUCACUAUUUAUUGGAAUAUGAAAGCUAUUUCACUUAUUUGAAUGACAUGUUUCUUAGUGUUGAAGAUGUUAGUGUUAUGAUAUAAAGUUAGUUCAUGAUUACAUUCUAUCAGAGUCAUUAUGACCAAGUUAUCUGGAGUUUGAUUUUUGUUGCGGCCGUUGUUGUAAAAAACAGAUUUAAGUUAUUAAUACACAAAUUAUGUAUCCAAAUCUUUACUACAAAUUUUCUAUAUUAAAAAGUAGAUUAUUGUAUUUUGAAAGAGACGAUUUUAAUUCUAGGAAAUAUGCAAAAUUCAUAUAAUGGAAUUGCCGUUAAGGAUCUAAUAUUAGCAUUAUUUACAGUACUUUUAAUUUUGGUUUAACUUGUUUAUAUGUUUCUUCCAUAUAAUUUAGAAGCAAUACUAUAAAACCCAUCAAACUACUCCUCCUAUACUACACUAUCAACUGGUACGUCAUGUGGAACUGAGUGGAGUUCUAUACAACCAACCUUCUAGUUUAUCAUUUACUCAAAUAAUUUAUGUUAUAUGUUUAUAUUGUUUUUUAAAAGAUAAAUUAGUGUACAAAUAAAGACGUGAUCCUACAUUGAAUAAAAAUUCAAUAUUCUUGUGUUUAGCAACAAAAAAAAGAGAUUGUCCCGAAUGCAGAUAACCACU